Pelobates cultripes (western spadefoot toad) is the source of this 905-nucleotide non-coding RNA. The record is from the annotation of a GenBank genome assembly. Lineage: Eukaryota; Metazoa; Chordata; Amphibia; Anura; Pelobatidae.
CUGUCGUUGCCUCACCGUGAUACCAGACACACAAUGACUAUAGAAACGAGGAGAGAGACAUUUGAACACAUUACCUUCUUUCUCUGUUCUGUUUCCGUGAUUUGUGCAGCAAUCCAAUCAGAACCACAGCUGCCCUGAUCCCAGCUUUUUUCGAAUGCAUUCUCUCCGUUGGCUGUGACAUAGUUACCAGACCCAAGUGCCACUGUCUCCAAAGGGAAAGUAACCAAACCUCAGCAUGAAAUUUAGCAAAACUGACUUGCCCCUCACCCCCGUCCCCACUUUCUCUCCCCUUUCCUUUAGUUGAGAUGUUUGCCGUAUGAUUGUGAUUAUUUAGAAUGUUGAGAUAGGUAUCUUUUACUCUAGUGACCUUCAAGUCACAAGUCACCGCCACCGUCCUCUUCCAGAUGGGACUCCAACUUCAGGCUUUCCUUUGUUUUUCCUUAAUGCUGGGUCUGCCAGUCGAAAGAAAAAUAACAGGAAAGUGACUUGUAAAUAGCAGUCUAAGUGCUGCAGCCUUUGCUACAGUCACCAGCUCAUCCCAGUGAGAAAAGCUGAGCUGUGGCUCCACCUGAGGACCCAACGCAAUGUCUCCGAGGGCUGUGAUUCACAGAUAUUCCAGUACAAGUUUUAUCUCAGAGACCAGAGAACGCCGAGGACUGUGAAGGUGUGAUUCUGCUUUCCAGAUCCAUAAUUUGCUAGGAGACAAAAACACAUCCAAACCCAAAGCUGACUAGGAACGUCAUGAAAUCAAAUCCCAUGGGAGAGAGGGAGAUAAACCAAACACACUUGCAUACAGGAAAGAAAGAAAGAAAGAAAGAAAGAAAAAAAGAAAGAAAACAAUAAAAAGCAAUGCCUUUGGGCUUGUCCUGCACCUGCUGGUUAAAAUAUUAACUUUCACUUGCAAG